This 477-nucleotide ribosomal RNA is filed under the name Candidatus Scalindua brodae. RNAcentral describes it as "bacterial SSU rRNA". It matches the Rfam family "Bacterial small subunit ribosomal RNA", at positions 365 to 832 of the family's 1533-position model. Lineage: Bacteria; Pseudomonadati; Planctomycetota; Candidatus Brocadiia; Candidatus Brocadiales; Candidatus Scalinduaceae. The record is from RNAcentral. RNAcentral also lists the same sequence under 1 other name.
UUCGCAAUGCCCGAAAGGGUGACGAAGCGACGCCGCGUGGGUGAGGAAGGCCUUCGGGUUGCAAAGCCCUGUCAGGAGUUAAGAAAUGUAAGUGCGCUAAUAUCGCAUUUAUUUGACGAAGGCUCCAAAGGAAGUCACGGCUAACUCUGUGCCAGCAGCCGCGGUAAUACAGAGGUGGCAAGCGUUGUUCGGAAUUAUUGGGCGUAAAGAGCACGUAGGUGGGUUUGCAAGUCAGAUGUGAAAGCCUCCUGUUCAACGGGAGAAUUGCAUCUGAAACUGCAGAUCUUGAGUGUAGGAGGGGAGAAUGGAACUUCUGGUGGAGCGGUGAAAUGCGUAGAUAUCAGAAGGAACGCCGGCGGCGAAAGCGAUUCUCUGGCCUAUUACUGACACUCAGUGUGCGAAAGCUAGGGGAGCAAACGGGAUUAGAUACCCCGGUAGUCCUAGCCGUAAACGAUGGGCACUAAGUAGAGGGGUUUU